Molecule: ribosomal RNA, 492 nt
Filed under: uncultured bacterium
Lineage: Bacteria
Description: partial 16S ribosomal RNA
Rfam family: Bacterial small subunit ribosomal RNA
Source: RNAcentral
AGCGAACGCUGGCGGUAGGCCUAACACAUGCAAGUCGAACGGCAGCACAGUAAGAGCUUGCUCUUACGGGUGUCGAGUGGCGGACGGGUGAGGUAGACACCGGAAUCUACUUUUUCGGGGGGGAUAACGUAGGGAAACUUACGCUAAUACCGCAUACGACCUCCUGGUGAAAGCAGGGGAUCUUCGGACCUUGCGCGAUUGAAUGAGCCGAUGUCGGAGUAGCUAGUUGGCGGGGUAAAGGCCCACCAAGGCGACGAUCCGUAGCUGGUCUGAGAGGAUGAUCACCUAGACGGGAACGGAGGCACGGUACAGACUCCUACGGGAGGAAGCAGUGGGGAAUAUUGGAGGAUGGGCGCAAGCGUGAUACAGCCAUACCGCGGAAGGGAAGAAGGACUUCGGGUUGUAAAGCGAUUAUGGUGUGAGAGAAGAGAAGCAGGUUAACACCCCGCUGUUCUGACGGUACCGAAAGAAUAAGCUCCGGCUAACUUCGUG